CACAUUUCACAGCCAUGGUGGUUGUGAGUCUUCCGAACCCAUCUCUCCACACCCAAACCCUCGCUUCCUGCAACUUCAUUUCACCAUUUCUGCACCAUUCCCACCAAAUCUACACUAAUUGCAGAAGACCCACUAGACAAGAAGUGCAGAACUCUAAUGGGUUGCUUUCUGUUACAGCUUACAUGGAGAACCCCAACUCCAUUUCCAGUUUUGCCAGCAAAGUCAUUGGUUCUCUCCCUGUAAUUGGCCUUGUAGCUAGAAUUUUCAGCGAUGAAGGUGGUGUUGGUGGUGAUAUCAUUGAUUUCGCAGAGUUUAGGAGGAGAGUGGGCAAGAAGUGCACAUUCAAUGAUUCUAGAGCUUUUUAUGAGUUCCAGGAUCGGAGAGGCAAGUCAGGGGAUCCUUUGUAUGUUCUAUUGUGCUGUUGGCUAGCAGCUGUUGGUGCUGGUCUUCUCAAAUCUGAAGAGCUUUUAGAGGGGGCAGCAAGGCUUCGGAUAUCAAAUGAUAUUGAAUUUGAAGAGCAGAAUUUCAUUUCAUUGAUGAAUGAGGCAAAAGAGGUUGGAAAUCUUUUCUAAUCCUAUUUACUUUCUCUUGUUUUUCUGACUUCCAUGAAUUCAAGCUGGCGAACCAUUCAACUCUCGUUUUGAAUGGCAUCUGAAAGUGCUAAGCAUCAUGUGAUCAACCGAGAUUACUUUCUAACUCAAAUUAUGUACAAUUAUUUUCUGUGCCUUAAUUCAUAUGUCAACCUACUAAUGUAAUGGCAGCGUGAAAAGAUUGAGGCCUCAUGAAGUAAAAGAUCUUCAAAGCCUAGGAAAUGAUUUAGUUCCCUUUUCAGAUUGCAGUUUGCCUGGGAAUAGGUGAUAAAUUCGUUCAAGCAUACUAACAAAUUUCUUAUACUGUCUAAUUGGAAGUCGGUUUGGAGUAACAAAUUUCUUAGCAAGAAAAGGGGGAAAUUGUGUAAACCAAGAUCUAAGAGUUUGAAUUGCAAUGAAUUUAGCAGUGGCUGUUUAAAAAUAAUCUUUCAAUCAGUGAUCAUGGGGUAUAUGGAUGCCUCACCAAAAGGAAACAGUAGCAUUCAGUUCUGGCUACGCAUUAGAUGGUCGAUUUGUUGGAAUCCAAGUCCAGGUGGAAUUAGGAUUGAAUAUGAAUUAGGAAGAUUUAAUUAUAAUUUAACUGGGAAGUUUAGUUAAUUCGGUGUUUUAGUGGCCUACAUAUAUGAGUUGCUGCUGGCCACAUGAAGUGUGUGAGUGUGUGCUGACCAUGGAGUGUUGGUACUAUAGUAACGUGUGUGCAAAGUGUAGAAGGCCACAUGUUGGAGCAUGGAUUUAAAUUGCAGUCACAUUUGUGGGCAACAAAAAUAGACCUAUCAAGGCUUAACAUAACGAUAACGGCUUAUCACUAUGCAAAUAUUUUUGGAAAUUUUAUAAAGUUCACGAAAUUAAUAUAUAUAUAUAAACAUAUAAGUAAAAGUAAGAUACAUAACUAAAUAAUAAGCAUAAAUAUA
Molecule: unclassified non-coding RNA, 1501 nt
Filed under: Hevea brasiliensis (rubber tree)
Lineage: Eukaryota; Viridiplantae; Streptophyta; Magnoliopsida; Malpighiales; Euphorbiaceae
Source: RNAcentral